GGCAGAUGAAAUGUCCCUAAAAUAGGAACACAAAAUUUAAGUAAAAAACACACACACAAUAAUGUGUUUGUCACAAGUCUUAUAAGAGCAUUACUUUGGUUUGGAAUGCUAAAUUUGUAAUAGAUACUUGCUCCCCCAUUUAACCACAAGUUGGCCAUAUAUGGACUCCCCUAGGGGUUGGCCAGGUGAUCUAGGCUUGAGACUUGAAGAGCCGGUCCCUUCCAAGGUUUCAUGUUUGAAAUGUCCUAGGUGCUAUUAAUUUCUGAGUUGGGUCAGUCUAUAUGGGGCUUUGCCCCAGUUUUAAUAGGGGCUUCCGUUAGUGGACGGCGGGAUUGGUCCCCCGGAUUAGUUGUAUCAAAAGUUGGCCAUAUGUGAAAUCUAAUGCAUGCUUCUUUUUUGUCUAUGCUUCUAUUAAUACCCUCCUGCAACACAAACCUGAUUGGAACAUGUGCAUCGAACAUUUGGCCAUGGUUCUGACUGUAUCCGGCAACCAACUGGUAAUGUGUCGGCUCUCAAGAAAUGUUGGCAUCUGCAGUUGCAUCUCCUGUAGUGAAGAACCCAAGAAAAUCUACAUUUAUGCUAAUCUUUUAGCAAAUCAUUAACCAGAAAACGGUUGCGUGUUUCAUUCAUUACCUGCAUACAAGGUGGACUAUAAGAUGUUGAUGCAUGAUUGUUUAGCAAAUAUUUCUGCAGCAUAUGGAAAGGAAUCAUCAAGUUAUGUAAACACAAUUCUUUUGAAAUUUUUGCAUUGCAUGUCUUCAUUUUUGAAUAAAUAUUAAAUACUGACCUUAGCAGAAGAGCCAAUCGAAUUAUCAAAGUGAACGAUUCGUG
Molecule: long non-coding RNA, 831 nt
Filed under: Actinidia chinensis (golden kiwifruit)
Lineage: Eukaryota; Viridiplantae; Streptophyta; Magnoliopsida; Ericales; Actinidiaceae
Description: long non-coding RNA (ACHI_LNC006679)
Source: RNAcentral